This 449-nucleotide ribosomal RNA is filed under the name uncultured bacterium. RNAcentral describes it as "bacterial SSU rRNA". It matches the Rfam family "Bacterial small subunit ribosomal RNA", at positions 335 to 799 of the family's 1533-position model. The record is from RNAcentral.
ACUCCUACGGGAGGCAGCAGUGGGGGAAUCUUGGACAAUGGGCGCAAGCCUGAUCCAGCCAUGCCGCGUGAGUGAUGAAGGCCCUAGGGUCGUAAAGCUCUUUCGCCAGGGAUGAUAAUGACAGUACCUGGUAAAGAAACCCCGGCUAACUCCGUGCCAGCAGCCGCGGUAAUACGGAGGGGUUAGCGUUGUUCGGAAUUACUGGGGCGUAAAGCGCGCGUAGGCGGACUGGAAAGUUGGGGGUGAAAUCCCGGGGCUCAACCCCGGAACUGCCUCCAAAACUCCCAGUCUUGAGUUCGAGAGAGGUGAGUGGAAUUCCGAGUGUAGAGGUGAAAUUCGUAGAUAUUCGGAGGAACACCAGUGGCGAAGGCGGCUCACUGGCUCGAUACUGACGCUGAGGUGCGAAAGUGUGGGGAGCAAACAGGAUUAGAUACCCUGGUAGGAUAGCG